AGUCGAACGGUAGAAUGUCUCGGACUUUGAGAGUGGCGAACGGGUGAGUACACGUAGGUAAUCUGUCUUAGGGGUUGGGGAUAGCCCAUGGAAACAUGGGGUAAUACCGAAUAGCUCCCUUUCAGCACAAGCGGGAAGGGGGAAAGGCGCUUAGGCGCCGNCUUAGGGUGAGCCUGCGGUCCAUUAGUUAGUCGGUGGGGUAAGAGCCUACCAAGGCAGCGAUGGAUAACCGGCCUGAGAGGGUGAACGGNCACACUGGGACUGAGACACGGCCCAGACUCCUACGGGAGGCAGCAGCUAAGAAUCUUCCGCAAUGGGCGAAAGCCUGACGGAGCGAUGCCGCGUGAGUGAAGAAGGCGGGAACGUUGUAAAACUCUUUUCUCGGGGAGGAAUAAGGAGGGGAGGAAAUGCCCCUUUGAUGACGCGAACCGAGGAAUAAGCCCCGGCUAAUUACGUGCCAGCAGCCGCGGUAACACGUAAGGGGCGAGCGUUGUUCGGAAUUAUUGGGCGUAAAGAGCGUGUAGGCGGCGAUGUAAGCCUGGUGUGACAGACUUCAGCUUAACUGGAGAGCCGCGCUGGGAACUAUGUUGCUUGAGUAUAGGAGGGGGAGCUGGAAUUCCAGGUGUAGGGGUGACAUCUGUAGAUAUCUGGACGCACCCCGGCGGCGAAGGCGAGCUCCUGGGCAUAUACUGACGCUGAGGCGCGAAAG
RNAcentral lists this ribosomal RNA (709 nucleotides) under uncultured organism. RNAcentral's name for it is "bacterial SSU rRNA". It matches the Rfam family "Bacterial small subunit ribosomal RNA", at positions 60 to 759 of the family's 1533-position model. The record is from RNAcentral.